Long non-coding RNA from Planococcus citri (citrus mealybug), 627 nucleotides. RefSeq lists it as uncharacterized. The transcript is spliced from 3 exons. Lineage: Eukaryota; Metazoa; Arthropoda; Insecta; Hemiptera; Pseudococcidae. The record is from RefSeq and is a predicted model, not a curated record.
UAACCAGAUGCGAUAGGUUUUUCACACAGUUGUUUUCCAGUCCUAUUUCGCAGUUCGUUUUUCCGAAGCUCGUGUGACAGCCGAAUCAAAAAGACUGCUGGGUAUACCUACCUAGGUAUACGUAUUCAGAAUCAGAAGUUUCUUGUUCAGUUGCAUUAAUUCACAGGUUCGUGUGAUAGAAGCAUUACCUACAUACCGGAUUCAAAUCAAAAGGCAUGAAUUUUUCAGUGAUGGCUAUUAAAUCGUAUUUAUUCAUUUUAUUGGUUAUAGCCUUACAACUUUAUUCUGUUAAAUACACUGUUGUGAUCGCACCAGGUAUCGACCCUAACGGCAUAUUUGGCUCGGUCUGGCAACCUCCACCUGAUCCAGCAGGUUAUGACGGUGACACUGAAAAAUAAUUGAAUAGUUUGGAGCCCUCACUAGAUGGGUAUAGGUAGGUAGGUAUUAAGAAAAAAAUCAACAUAUAAAUUUACAGAGCUCUAUUUUUAAGAAAAAUUAACGUAAGUAAGUAAGUAAGUAAGUACCUAUAAGUAAUAAUGUUAAUUUAACAUAGAUAUACCUAAUUUUACAGACCUUUAUUUUUCACAAAAAUAAACCUAAUAAUUUUCCUCAUACAUAAUAUUUUUU